This 777-nucleotide ribosomal RNA is filed under the name uncultured bacterium. RNAcentral describes it as "bacterial SSU rRNA". It matches the Rfam family "Bacterial small subunit ribosomal RNA", at positions 8 to 773 of the family's 1533-position model. The record is from RNAcentral.
AGAGUUUGAUCCUGGCUCAGAGUGAACGCUGGCGGUAGGCCUAACACAUGCAAGUCGAACGGCAGCACAGUAAGAGCUUGCUCUUACGGGUGGCGAGUGGCGGACGGGUGAGGAAUACAUCGGAAUCUACUUUUUCGUGGGGGAUAACGUAGGGAAACUUACGCUAAUACCGCAUACGACCUACGGGUGAAAGCAGGGGAUCUUCGGACCUUGCGCGAUUGAAUAAGCCGAUGUCGGAUUAGCUAGUUGGCGGGGUAAAGGCCCACCAAGGCGACGAUCCGUAGCUGGUCUGAGAGGAUGAUCGGCCACACUGGAACUGAGACACGGUCCAGACUCCUACGGGAGGCAGCAGUGGGGAAUAUUGGACAAUGGGCGCAAGCCUGAUCCAGCCAUACCGCGUGGGUGAAGAAGGCCUUCGGGUUGUAAAGCCCUUUUGUUGGGAAAGAAAUCCAGCUGGUUAAUACCCGGUUGGGAUGACGGUACCCAAAGAAUAAGCACCGGCUAACUUCGUGCCAGCAGCCGCGGUAAUACGAAGGGUGCAAGCGUUACUCGGAAUUACUGGGCGUAAAGCGUGCGUAGGUGGUCGUUUAAGUCUGUUGUGAAAGCCCUGGGCUCAACCUGGGAACUGCAGUGGAAACUGGACGACUAGAGUGUGGUAGAGGGUAGCGGAAUUCCUGGUGUAGCAGUGAAAUGCGUAGAGAUCAGAGGAACAUCCAUGGCGAAAGCAGCUACCUGGACCAACACUGACACUGAGGCACGAAAGCGUGGGGGAGCAAC